This 534-nucleotide ribosomal RNA is filed under the name Thalassiosira rotula. RNAcentral describes it as "partial Eukaryotic small subunit ribosomal RNA". It matches the Rfam family "Eukaryotic small subunit ribosomal RNA", at positions 604 to 1152 of the family's 1831-position model. The record is from RNAcentral. Lineage: Eukaryota; Bacillariophyta; Thalassiosirophyceae; Thalassiosirales; Thalassiosiraceae.
UUAAAGUUGUUGCAGUUAAAAAGCUCGUAGUUGGACCUUGGACCUGGAUAGGCGGUCCGCCUCACGGCGAGUACUGUCUUGCUGGGUCUUUCCUCUUGGUGAUCUGUUGUUUCGGCAGCAGGGAACCAGGACCUUUACUUUGAAAAAAUUAGAGUGUUCAAAGCAGGCUCGACGCCGGAAUAUAUUAGCAUGGAAUAAUAAAAUAGGACGUGUGGUUCUAUUUUGUUGGUUUUUGGAACCGCCGUAAUGAUUAAUAGGGACAGUCGGGGGCAUUAGUACUCACAUGCUAGAGGUGAAAUUCUUGGAUUUUGUGAAGACUAACUUCUGCGAAAGCAUUUGCCAAGGAUGUUUUCAUUAAUCAAGAACGAAGGUUAGGGUAUCGAAAACGAUUAGAUACCGUUGUAGUCUUAACAGUAAACUAUGCCGACUAGGGAUCGGUCGAUGUUAUCUUUUUGACUCGAUCGGCACCUUACGAGAAAUCAAAGUUUUUGGGUUCUGGGGGGAGUAUGGUCGCAAGGCUGAAACUUAAAGGAA